AGAGUUUGAUCCUGGCUCAGAGCGAACGCUGGCGGCAGGCUUAACACAUGCAAGUCGAGCGGGCACCUUCGGGUGUCAGCGGCAGACGGGUGAGUAACACGUGGGAACGUGCCCUUUGGUUCGGGACAACUCCGGGAAACUGGAGCUAAUACCGGAUAAGCCCUUCGGGGGAAAGAUUUAUCGCCAAAGGAUCGGCCCGCGUCUGAUUAGCUAGUUGGUGAGGUAAUGGCUCACCAAGGCGACGAUCAGUAGCUGGUCUGAGAGGAUGAUCAGCCACACUGGGACUGAGACACGGCCCAGACUCCUACGGGAGGCAGCAGUGGGGAAUAUUGGACAAUGGGCGCAAGCCUGAUCCAGCCAUGCCGCGUGAGUGAUGAAGGCCCUAGGGUUGUAAAGCUCUUUUGUCCGGGAAGAUAAUGACUGUACCGGAAGAAUAAGCCCCGGCUAACUUCGUGCCAGCAGCCGCGGUAAUACGAAGGGGGCUAGCGUUGCUCGGAAUCACUGGGCGUAAAGGGCGCGUAGGCGGCCAUUCAAGUCGGGGGUGAAAGCCCAGGGCUCAACUCUGGAAUUGCCUUCGAUACUGUUUGGCUAGAGACCGGAAGAGGUUAGUGGAACUGCGAGUGUAGAGGUGAAAUUCGUAGAUAUUCGCAAGAACACCAGUGGCGAAGGCGGCUAACUGGUCCGGUUCUGACGCUGAGGGCGAAAGCGUGGGGAGCAAACAGGAUUAGAUACCCUAGUAGUCC
RNAcentral lists this ribosomal RNA (743 nucleotides) under uncultured bacterium. Its description in RNAcentral is "bacterial SSU rRNA". It matches the Rfam family "Bacterial small subunit ribosomal RNA", at positions 8 to 796 of the family's 1533-position model. The record is from RNAcentral.